This 253-nucleotide ribosomal RNA is filed under the name uncultured bacterium. RNAcentral's name for it is "partial 16S ribosomal RNA". It matches the Rfam family "Bacterial small subunit ribosomal RNA", at positions 524 to 776 of the family's 1533-position model. The record is from RNAcentral.
GACAGAGGGUGCAAACGUUGUUCGGAAUUACUGGGCGUAAAGCGCGUGUAGGCGGCUUGGCAAGUCGGGUGUGAAAGCCCUGGGCUUAACCUAGGAAGUGCACUCGAAACUGCCGAGCUUGAGUUCUGGAGAGGAAGGCGGAAUUCUCGGUGUAGAGGUGAAAUUCGUAGAUAUCAAGCGGAACACCGGUGGCGAAGGCGGCCUUCUGGACAGUGACUGACGCUGAGACGCGAAAGCGUGGGGAGCAAACAGG